ACGCUGGCGGCAGGCCUAACCAUGCAAGUCGAGCGGAAACACAAGGAGCUUGCUCCUGAGGUGUCGAGCGGCGGCGGGUGAGUAAUGCCUAGGGAUCUGCCCAGUCUAGGGGGAUAACAGUUGGAAACGACUGCUAAUACCGCAUACGCCCUACGGGGGAAAGGAGGGGACCUUCGGGCCUUUCGCGAUUGGAUGAACCUAGGUGGGAUUAGCUAGUUGGUGAGGUAAUGGCUCACCAAGGCGACGAUCCCUAGCUGUUCUGAGAGGAUGAUCAGCCACACUGGGACUGAGACACGGCCCAGACUCCUACGGGAGGCAGCAGUGGGGAAUAUUGCACAAUGGGCGAAAGCCUGAUGCAGCCAUGCCGCGUGUGUGAAGAAGGCCUUCGGGUUGUAAAGCACUUUCAGUAGGGAGGAAAGGCAGUUGUUUAAUAAACAGCUGCUGUGACGUUACCUACAGAAGAAGGACCGGCUAACUUCGUGCCAGCAGCCGCGGUAAUACGAGGGGUCCAAGCGUUAAUCGGAAUUACUGGGCGUAAAGCGUACGCAGGCGGUUCAUUAAGCUAGAUGUGAAAUCCCCGGGCUCAACCUGGGAAUUGCAUUUAGAACUGGUGAACUAGAGUCUUGUAGAGGGGGGUAGAAUUUCAGGUGUAGCGGUGAAAUGCGUAGAGAUCUGAAGGAAUACCGGUGGCGAAGGCGGCCCCCUGGACAAAGACUGACGCUCAUGUACGAAAGCGUGGGGAGCAAACAGGAUUAGAUACCCUGUAGUCCCGCCGUAAACGAUGUCUACUCGGAGUUUGGGCCUUGAGCACUGGGCUCCCAAGCUAACGCAUUAAGUACCGCCUGGGGAGUACGGCCGCAAGGUAAAACUCAAAUGAAUGA
Molecule: ribosomal RNA, 881 nt
Filed under: uncultured bacterium
Lineage: Bacteria
Description: bacterial SSU rRNA
Rfam family: Bacterial small subunit ribosomal RNA
Source: RNAcentral